GUCGGGAUAGCUCAGCCUGGAAAAGAAAAAGACUGAAAA
This 39-nucleotide transfer RNA is filed under the name Impatiens platychlaena. RNAcentral describes it as "partial tRNA-Phe". The record is from RNAcentral. Lineage: Eukaryota; Viridiplantae; Streptophyta; Magnoliopsida; Ericales; Balsaminaceae.